UGGGGAAUCUUGGACAAUGGGGGCAACCCUGAUCCAGCCAUGCCGCGUGAGUGAUGAAGGCCUUAGGGUCGUAAAGCUCUUUCGCCUGUGAAGAUAAUGACGGUAGCAGGUAAAGAAACCCCGGCUAACUCCGUGCCAGCAGCCGCGGUAAUACGGAGGGGGUUAGCGUUGUUCGGAAUUACUGGGCGUAAAGCGCACGUAGGCGGACCAGAAAGUUGGGGGUGAAAUCCCGGGGGCUCAACCCCGGAACUGCCUCCAAAACUAUUGGUCUAGAGUUCGAGAGAGGUGAGUGGAAUUCCAAGUGUAGAGGUGAAAUUCGUAGAUAUUUGGAGGAACACCAGUGGCGAAGGCGGCUCACUGGCUCGAUACUGACGCUGAGGUGCGAAAGUGUGGGGAGCAAAACAGGAUUAGAUACCCCUGGUAGUCCACACCGUAAAACGAUGAAUGCCAGUCGUCGGGUAGCAUGCUAUUCGGUGACACACCUAACGGAUU
RNAcentral lists this ribosomal RNA (492 nucleotides) under uncultured bacterium. RNAcentral's name for it is "bacterial SSU rRNA". It matches the Rfam family "Bacterial small subunit ribosomal RNA", at positions 355 to 861 of the family's 1533-position model. The record is from RNAcentral.